Molecule: ribosomal RNA, 466 nt
Filed under: uncultured bacterium
Lineage: Bacteria
Description: partial 16S ribosomal RNA
Rfam family: Bacterial small subunit ribosomal RNA
Source: RNAcentral
GACGAACGCUGGCGGCGUGCUUAACACAUGCAAGUCGAACGGAAAGGCCCUGCUUGCAGGGUACUCGAGUGGCGAACGGGUGAGUAACACGUGGGUGAUCUGCCCUGCACUUCGGGAUAAGCUUGGGAAACUGGGUCUAAUACCGGAUAGGAGCCAUCUUUAGUGUGGUGGUUGGAAAGUUUUUUCGGUGUAGGAUGAGCUCGCGGCCUAUCAGCUUGUUGGUGGGGUAAUGGCCUACCAAGGCGGCGACGGGUAGCCGGCCUGAGAGGGUGUACGGCCACAGUGGGACGGAGAUACGGCCCAGACUCCUACGGGAGGCAGCAGUGGGGAAUAUUGCACAAUGGGCGCAAGCCUGAUGCAGCGACGCCGCGUGGGGGAUGAAGGCCUUCGGGUUGUAAACUCCUUUCGCUAGGGACGAAGCUUUGUUGUGACGGUACCUAGAGAAGAAGCACCGGCUAACUACGUG